GCCUCCUCCAGGUCGACUUUCCAGGCGAUUACUCUAUAAAAUCCGAGGCUGGCCAGAAGUAUCUUGUCAGGCUUUCUCGGACUGCUGAAAUUCCUGGAAAAUGGAGGCUUUACUUAGUUGAAUCAGGAAGGCGCCGGCUAUGGGGAAAAAAAAAGUCAAGUUUUCAGACGGGACCCUUUGCUUGCAAUAACAUUAAGUUGGGUAGCAGGUGCUGGGCAAGUGGCUGUACGAUUCCUUAUGCCGAAAAGCUGAUUAAUGUUAAGCAACUGCUGACCUGACGGUUCAGGAAGUUUUGCUGAGCUUCUUAUGAAAAAUCUCCCUGUGUAGCCUUGGCUGUCCUGGAACUCACUCUAUCAAACAGGCUGGCCUCAAACUCAUGAAGAUCUGCCUGUCUCUCCCUCCCAAGUACUGGGAUAUUAAAGGUCACAAUGCCAGAUCCUGAACUCUGCCUGUGACCCUAACUACUUAGAAGUUCUGACACCGAGCGGAUGAAUAAAGUUGCUCCUGCUCAUCUAACUUUGGUGGCCUUGUCCUCAAUAUUUCUGAGGCGCCCCGACCUUGAAUCUCAUAUUGAAGACCUUGAAAGCUCUUCACUGUCUAAAUGAACUGAUUCUGUAAUUCCAUCAGUGGCUACUGCAACAUUCAUAACAUUGCAUCUACCGUAGAUGCAUCUACCAUGGGUGUGCUUCAGAGAGCCCCAGCCCCAAACCCUCUCCAUGUGUCAUUUUGGGGGGCAGCGAGCUAUAAAGUAAAAACAAUCCUCUUCUAUAGGACAGCUGUGGAUUCAGAACAAAAGACUAAAAUUCUUAAUCGGGCAUGUUGCACAAACCUGUAAUCCCAGCACUUAGGUAGAGGCAAAGGUUCAGAAAUUCAAGGUCACUCUCUGUGACAUUUGAGUGAGUUUGAGGCCAGCCUGGGAUACACAUGACCUUGUCUUAAAAAUAAAGUAGGACUGGAACCCAAGGCUUACUUCAUUAGCAGCUGUCACUGGGUCACCCCGGCCCUCCUUUGUGCCCCUUUAUUAUGUAUGCAGACUCCUGCUGAAUGUUCCCUCUAGGUUAUUUCCCCCACAGUCCUAGGUUCC
RNAcentral lists this long non-coding RNA (1084 nucleotides) under Cricetulus griseus (Chinese hamster). RNAcentral describes it as "lncRNA (ENSCGRG00015031211.1)". The record is from RNAcentral. Lineage: Eukaryota; Metazoa; Chordata; Mammalia; Rodentia; Cricetidae.